This 605-nucleotide long non-coding RNA is filed under the name Mus musculus (house mouse). RNAcentral describes it as "predicted gene, 34276". Lineage: Eukaryota; Metazoa; Chordata; Mammalia; Rodentia; Muridae. The record is from RNAcentral.
CCCUCUUCGGCUCUCAGCCAGCUUGCCUUCAAGAUCCUCAUCUAGACAAGGCUUAAAUUUGGCUUAACUGUUGGCUCCAGCAUUACCGUUUCACAAGGACGGAGGUGCAGCCUGUGUGGUGAUCCUUGCCAGGCGAAGGCACCAGGAAGAAUCCUUAUCCAAUGACGGGGACCCUAAAACUUGCCCGCACUCUUUUCUCCCGCCUCUGGUUCCUGCCCUGCAUGAGUUCCUGUCCUGACUUCCUUCAGUGGUGGACUAUGAUGUGCAAAUGAGGUGUCCGGCCUCAGAAAAUGCUGCUCCAAAGUCCUUUGGAUGGAAUUGAAUGAGACCUAGAGGAUUCACAAGGAAUCUCCAUUUUGAAGAUGGUGGCAGAUUCAAGAUCAGAAGUCUCACAGAGAGGGCUCCUGCUGAACGCCUGGGAGAAGAAUAGACCAGAAGGAGGCUGGACACAGAGGCUGUGUGGGGCCACUCCAGCCUAUCACCAGGACACCUAAGCCUUCUGUCCAGUUGUGCUUUACACUGUCCUCCAGGCUUCCAAACAGUUUUCAUUGAGUCUUUGGAUGCUCAUUUCUGAAGCCACAUUAAAUCGAGGCUACUUCCUCUUA